CGGAAUCGCGGCGCGUCCAGUGCCUGCUGGAGCUGCAGGUGCGGCACAUCCGCGCCAGGUUCGCCGUCUAUCUCACAGAAAAUCCCGGCGGCAGCAGCAGGGAAAUCCUGGAAAGCAAAGGAAUUCUGGUGGCUGACGUCAACACCUUCCUGGGGACGGUGCAGGAAGUGGCUGCUCCCUUCAGAAGGAGCUACUGGUGACGGAGCAGAACCACGGACACGGCUCCUCCCCAGGCCCUGGGGCACCGGUUUGGUGCCCAGUCCUGUGGGGACAUCCACAGCCAUCCCAGUGGAUCCCAGGCACCCAUCCCAGUGGAUCCCAGACACCCAUCCAGGGGAUUCUCACACCCAUCCCAGUGGAACCCAACCACCAGUGGAUCCCCACACCCAUCCCGGUGGAUCCUCAUCCCGGUGGAUCCCAGCCGCUGCUGGGGGAUCUGUUUUGGCUCUGUACAUAAAUGUUAUUUAAAGGCGGGGAGCACAAACCCUCUGGGAUCUGUUCCCCGCCAUCCGCUCUCCACGGAAAAGGUUCUGACGGUACCCGGAAAUCACCGCAGACCUUUCAGGCCU
RNAcentral lists this long non-coding RNA (569 nucleotides) under Cyanistes caeruleus (blue tit). Its description in RNAcentral is "lncRNA (ENSCCEG00000005379.1)". The record is from RNAcentral. Lineage: Eukaryota; Metazoa; Chordata; Aves; Passeriformes; Paridae.